AAGUCGUAACAAGGUUUCCGUAGGUGAACCUGCGGAAGGAUCAUUAAUGAAAUUAUGACUGGGGUUGUAGCUGGCCUAUAAAACGGCAUGUGCACGCUCCUUUCACAAUCCACACACACCUGUGCACCUUCGCGGGGGUCUUUUUUUCUCUUCGGGGGAAUAAAGACUCGCGUCCCUUUACACACCCUUUGUAUGUCUUAAGAAUGUCUACUCGAUGUAAUAAAACGCAUCUAAUACAACUUUCAACAACGGAUCUCUUGGCUCUC
This 266-nucleotide unclassified non-coding RNA is filed under the name Stereum ostrea. RNAcentral's name for it is "partial internal transcribed spacer region". The stretch from base 1 to 46 matches the Rfam family "Eukaryotic small subunit ribosomal RNA", at positions 1786 to 1831 of the family's 1831-position model. The record is from RNAcentral. Lineage: Eukaryota; Fungi; Basidiomycota; Agaricomycetes; Russulales; Stereaceae.